This 563-nucleotide non-coding RNA is filed under the name Pongo abelii (Sumatran orangutan). The record is from RNAcentral. Lineage: Eukaryota; Metazoa; Chordata; Mammalia; Primates; Hominidae.
GUGCCUUUUUCCAUAAUUUUUUCUUAUAACCAGCCCUUCUCAUCCAAAGGCCACAAUGAAGUCAAAGAAAACUAUAGAUGACAGCUUUCACAAUCUUUCUCUUGCCUUUUCGUGUACUGACGUAUGUUAGAGAUCUGACUGGCAGCUUCAAGGCACUUGGAAGCAAGAGGGCCACUCUAUUAAGGAUCGCUGAAGUAUGCCCACAUGUCAGGUUUCUCUCAGAUGUGUCUCAGGUAUGCCUUUAUCAGCAGCAUGAAAACAGACUAAUACACACACUACUAUGCAGAGAUUAAAAGCAAUAAAGGAAUUGGGCACAGGGGCUCCAGCCUAUAAUCCCAGCACUUUGGGAGGCUGAGGUAGGCGGAUCACUUGAGGUCAGGAGUUCAAAACCAGCCUGGCCAACAUGGUAUCAAAACAUCAUUAUGGGCCGGGCACAGUGGCUUACGCCUGUAAUCCCAGCACUUUGGGAGGCUGAGGCAGGUGGAUCAAGAGGUCAAGAGAUCGAGAUCAUCCCGGCCAACAUGGUGAAAUCCCAUCUCUACUAAAAACACAAAAAUUAGCUA